CCCUUAGAUGUCCUGGGCCGCACGCGCGCUACACUGACCAGUGCAACAAGCAUCCGUCCUUGGCCGACAGGCCCGGGCAAUCUUUGAACGCUGGUCGUGAUGGGGAUAGACUUUUGCAAUUUUUGGUCUUCAACGAGGAAUUCCUAGUAAACGCAAGUCAUCAACUUGCAUUGAUUACGUCCCUGCCCUUUGUACACACCGCCCGUCGCACCUACCGAUUGAAUGGUCCGGUGAAGCCUCCGGAUUGGCGCGCACCUCGGUGCCGCCGAGAAGUUGGCUAAACCUUACCAUUUAGAGGAAGGUGAAGUCGUAACA
RNAcentral lists this ribosomal RNA (315 nucleotides) under uncultured eukaryote. RNAcentral's name for it is "partial 18S ribosomal RNA". It matches the Rfam family "Eukaryotic small subunit ribosomal RNA", at positions 1470 to 1796 of the family's 1831-position model. The record is from RNAcentral.